RNAcentral lists this ribosomal RNA (329 nucleotides) under Halomonhystera disjuncta. RNAcentral describes it as "eukaryotic LSU rRNA". It matches the Rfam family "Eukaryotic large subunit ribosomal RNA", at positions 653 to 960 of the family's 3401-position model. The record is from RNAcentral. Lineage: Eukaryota; Metazoa; Nematoda; Chromadorea; Monhysterida; Monhysteridae.
CUUGAAACACGGACCAAGGAGUCUAACAUGUAAGCGACUCACUGGGUGUUAAAACCUAAGGGCGCAAUGAAAGUAAAGCAGGCUUGCCUGUUGAUACACGAUCCGUGAGCUUCGGCGAGCGGCGCAGUGUAGUCCCAUUCCGAUUGCUUGCAAUGGAGUGGAGACAGAGCUUACAUGUUGGGACCCGAAAGAUGGUGAACUAUGCCUGAGCAGGACGAAGCCAGAGGAAACUCUGGUGGAGGUCCGAAGCGAUUCUGACGUGCAAAUCGAUCGUCAGACUUGGGUAUAGGGGCGAAAGACUAAUCGAACCAUCUAGUAGCUGGUUCUCG